RNAcentral lists this unclassified non-coding RNA (328 nucleotides) under soil metagenome. RNAcentral describes it as "partial contains 5.8S ribosomal RNA, internal transcribed spacer 2, and large subunit ribosomal RNA". The stretch from base 1 to 120 matches the Rfam family "5.8S ribosomal RNA", at positions 35 to 154 of the family's 154-position model. The record is from RNAcentral.
GAUGAAGGACGUAGCGAAAUGCGAUAAGUAAUGUGAAUUGCAGAAUUCAGUGAAUCAUCGAAUCUUUGAACGCACAUUGCGCCCCUUGGUAUUCCGAGGGGCAUGCCUGUUCGAGCGUCAUUAUAACCCUUCAAGCUCAGCUUGGUGUUGGGGCCUGCUGUAACUGGUAGCCCUUAAAAUCAGUGGCAGUGCUAUUAGGCUCUAAGCGUAGUAAUUCUUCUCGCUAUAGUGUGUAGUGAGCGCUUGCCAGAACCCCAAACUUUUAUAUGAUUGACCUCGGAUCAGGUAGGGAUACCCGCUGAACUUAAGCAUAUCAAUAAGCGGAGGA